The sequence is a transfer RNA, 77 nucleotides long. It matches the Rfam family "tRNA". From Rfam's summary of the family: Transfer RNA (tRNA) molecules are approximately 80 nucleotides in length. Their secondary structure includes four short double-helical elements and three loops (D, anti-codon, and T loops).
GUGACUGUAGCUCAGCUGGUUAGAGCGCCGGCCUGUGAAGCCGGAGGUCGCGGGUUCGAAACCCGUCAGUCACCCCA